AAGGAUUGUCAUCAACCUUAUCACUUUCCACGACCAAAGACUCUGAAAAACAAAGAGAAAAUAAAACCAAAAACAUUUCUUGGCUGGCUUGAAGAGAUUUUAAGGAGAUCCAAGUUAAAUCAAAGCUAAAAAAGUGGAUUAAGCUUAGUUUUGGCAUUUUUAUGAUAUUUCUUGGUGGUUUCCAAGUGGUUUGAGGUUUAGAAAAGCUAGAAGAGAUUGUUUUCGCCGAAAAGUUGCUCGGAUAAGCACAUCAACACCUAAGACACUACUUGUUACACGGUGAAAUAUAUUUUGGACAGAAGGUAAGUAAAGUAUUCAACUACAAAACAAGAAUUACAUGUUAUGUGAAAGUAUGCAUUAUAUGAAUAUGUUGUGAGUAAGUGGUAUUAACAUACAUUGACACUUCAUCAUAAAUUUGUAUGCAUGACAUAAUAAUGAUAUGGUGAAUUAUUGUAUGAUAUAAGACCAUGCAUGAUUAAUUAUGUGAUGCCUUGGCAAGUUUUAUGCAACAUAAAAGUAAGUUGUAAUAAGAAGUUUAAGUUCAUUGCCACUGUUUUGAAAAGGCAAGUGAGAAUGUAAGUAAGUGUAAAC
Humulus lupulus (European hop) is the source of this 591-nucleotide long non-coding RNA. RefSeq lists it as uncharacterized. Lineage: Eukaryota; Viridiplantae; Streptophyta; Magnoliopsida; Rosales; Cannabaceae. The transcript is spliced from 3 exons. The record is from RefSeq and is a predicted model, not a curated record.